CAAGUGAACACGUCUUACCGGAGUUGGAGCGGAGAGCCAGGGGGGACUUGAGACGCCAGGCGCUGAGGUCAGGGGCAGCUCUCUGAAAUACGAACGGCACCGGCAAGGGAACAAACAUGAUCUUCCUCCGGCUUCUUUCUUUGGCUUUGGGUGCAAAUGAGGAGGAGCCGGGGCGAGCUCGGUCCCCGCCGGAGUUUCGGCGCUUGUUUUUCGGGAGGCGGUUCGGCGUGGACAGCUCGCCGCUUGGUGCGUACACAUGUAGCCCCCGCCCCGGCACUUUUAUUGAGUUUAACCGGCGUGAAUGUCCAUGGAACCUGUUACGACCCCACACAGACGGAUUGACGAGUGAAAAAGUUAGGUCGAGACGACGAGGACUGCUCUUUCUGCGGGACGAAAUAAGCCAACAUGGAGGCCCCUGGAGAGGUUUCUGCUCCUUGGGGGAACGUGCAAGACUCAAGGGCCCGUGCACAGACCAACUGACAGUCAGACCCAGCGAGCGAGCGAGCAACAACGGCUCCCGUCACCGGGGACCGAAGCAACGGCCAAAGCCUCAAUAUGGUGCAAGCAAGGCAUGCCGCAAAUAGACCAGCGCACCUUUGCUAGCGCUAAUGGACGUAAUGGUGACUCGCCGGCGAUUACAGAUGAUUACGGUAAAAUGAGCCGGAAGCGCCCCUCCACAAAGCAUAACGAGAACGAGCGGCACCGUGGGUUCCAGAGCACCGUCUCAUCCCGACUUCACACAAAAUAAACGAUUUCAGUCAACGGAAA
This is a long non-coding RNA of Syngnathus typhle (broad-nosed pipefish), 768 nucleotides long. RefSeq lists it as uncharacterized. The record is from RefSeq and is a predicted model, not a curated record. The transcript has 2 exons. Lineage: Eukaryota; Metazoa; Chordata; Actinopteri; Syngnathiformes; Syngnathidae.